This 253-nucleotide ribosomal RNA is filed under the name uncultured bacterium. RNAcentral describes it as "partial 16S ribosomal RNA". It matches the Rfam family "Bacterial small subunit ribosomal RNA", at positions 524 to 776 of the family's 1533-position model. The record is from RNAcentral.
UACGGAGGGUGCAAGCGUUAUCCGGAUUCACUGGGUUUAAAGGGUGCGUAGGUGGUUUUGUAAGUCAGUGGUGAAAGCCCGGAGCUUAACUCCGGAACUGCCAUUGAUACUGCUUAACUUGAAUCAACUUGAGGUGGAUGGAAUAUUACAUGUAGCGGUGAAAUGCUUAGAUAUGUAAUAGAAUACCGAUUGCGAAGGCAGUUCACUAAGGUUGUAUUGACACUGAGGCACGAAAGCGUGGGGAUCAAACAGG